GGCGUCGUACCCAAGUGGUAAGGGACGGGUCUGCAAAACCCUUAUGCAGCGGUUCAAUUCCGCUCGACGCCU
This is a non-coding RNA of Treponema socranskii subsp. socranskii, 72 nucleotides long. The record is from Rfam. NCBI's taxonomy places the organism in Bacteria, Pseudomonadati, Spirochaetota, Spirochaetia, Treponematales, Treponemataceae.